UGACUUCUAUGUCACGAAUCCAGAGAGCA
RNAcentral lists this non-coding RNA (29 nucleotides) under Mus musculus (house mouse). The record is from RNAcentral. Lineage: Eukaryota; Metazoa; Chordata; Mammalia; Rodentia; Muridae.